Non-coding RNA from Vicia faba (fava bean), 216 nucleotides. The record is from the annotation of a GenBank genome assembly. Lineage: Eukaryota; Viridiplantae; Streptophyta; Magnoliopsida; Fabales; Fabaceae.
AUGAGGGACAUCCUAGAAGAAGAGAAAAUCCAGGCAGUUAUGGUGGCUAAAUUACAAGAGGUCUUCCCAGAUUAUCACCUUGAGGACAAGGUGAGUCUUUUAGGCGGGGGUAUUGAUAAGCCUAAUCCACCCAUCACCAAGUUUUACACCCGCAGGCAGCGAUGCUCAAAGUGUAGGGUCAAGAGAUGCAGAUCAGGAGGGCGUGACCCUUGGUAA